UUUGGAUCUAGAAAAACAUGGAAUAAAACCGGAUUGUAACAUAUUAGUUUCCUUGUCACAUUUGUCAGAUAGAAGCAAUAGCAACAGUACUGGUACAUCGAAACCCCUUCUCUUCCUGUAAGCUCUUCAGAACUAGUUGCGCUAUGCACCAUAUUCAGUUGCGUGCAUCAGUGUAUGUGUGUGUGUUUGAGGUUUUCUCGUGGGAGGCACAGCGUACAUACGAACACAACUGGAAGGUGAGCGAAUGUUUCCUAACGUCGGUGGUGAUAGUGAAACUACACAGAGCAGAGCACAGCAUGAUCGCGAACUCGAGAGCAGCGUCUAUUGGACACAGCAAUGCGCACGAAUGAGGUCAGGAAAAGAGACGUCUGAAAAAUACGCACAUAACCUACUUUUAUGGGAUCGCUAUUUUUCGAGCCACUUUUCUCAUUUCAGAGGCGCUUUAGGAGCAAAAUCCACCCAUCCACUGAUGUAAGUAGUCUCGGGGCUUUGGGCGUAAUUAAACUUGUGCUCGUUUUUUUUAACGAUUUUUUAAUGCACUACACAACCGUAUUUGUUACAGUUGUUGCAGAAAUAAAUUCUUUAAGCCGACACUGAUUUGCAUUUUCCGACGCAAGUCUUUUCUCUUAUUUCCAACUGAAUUUGUUCUAUCUGGUCGCAUUAACGCCACACAACACUGCAUCAGUUGAAUUGAAGGUUAGUCAGACAAUUUAAAAAAAAGUUGAUUCGAAAAGUUGUUGAUAUCUUUCUCUCCAUUUCCCUACAAAUGGCUACAUAUUCACCCACUUAUAACAAUGUGUAUAUAUGUGUGUGUGUGAUACAAUGUGCAAUUACCAACGCGCGAUAGCGGAAGUAAAAAAGAACAGCAUGAAAGAAAUAUUUCCUCCUUUCCGAUACUUGUUUCCAGAGCAUUUAUGGAUAGCGGAAAGGAACGAAAGCUUGAAGUAAAUUUAUUGUUUAAACAUGCCCAUGUGUACAUCACACGCCCACUGCUGCGCGAAUGGGGGGAAAACGGUUGAAUUUCGUUUCGCAUGCAUCGCACCAUCAUCAUGUGCAAGAGGAGCUUUUCUUCCUGCUUCCGGCAAAAAGGAAGCAAACAUGGUUACAGCAUUUAGUAGCCUUUUAACAGCCGAAUUGAAACGAGUAUCGUUUGAUGCACACACCAAAAUGCUGAAGGCGUUUGAAUUCUAACGAUGAAUUGCAAUUGAAACCGGAACAAAUGAAUGUGCCGCAAUCAUAUUUAAAGCGAAAUCUUAUGCAGAAUCGAUAGAAGCUGGCCAAGUGAAACUAUUUAUUACGCGUGCUCCCUCCAGCGCAAUAGACCUUACCUUUAAUAAGGAGUAGAAAAAAAGCAGUUAAAAAUCAUAACUACAUCGAACUAACUAACCGCGAAAUGCAACAUCACAAAAUCAACCGAGGGAGAAAUCGUUUACGUAACUAACCCCCCCCCCCCUCCCUCUAUCACACCGCCAAGACGAUGGCAGCAGACACAACAGAGCCGGACGGAUGCUCGGCAGCAGUUAUGCUGCCCUUUUUCCCAUAAUAAUGCAUUUUCACGCACGCACGAGCAUUCAUAGCACAGACAAACCGCGCCUCGGCGAGGUAAACAAACAACCCAACCAGCGCGCACACACGGGAAAGUCUUUGGCUGGUGAAAAACGAAAAGAAAAACAGUCAAACCUCCGGGUUCGUACUACAACACCACAGUAGUAGUAGUACUAGUAGUAGUGUUUCGUACAAAUCGUCGUGAUUGAUCGAGUUUUGCUACUCUACUGCUCUUUCGUUAGUGGUGCAAUAGAGUUUGUUGCUGCGCGCUCGAUCGCAAACGAUUUGCGUUAGUUUCUUUCUUCCAUGCGCUUAUGUGGUGCGUAAUACACCGUUGAUGAUGGGGAGGAGUUGCAUAGUUCCGUCAUUUUGCAUGCUUCCUCCUUGGUAGCUUGAUCAACAAAUCGAAGCACUAAUAUGACUGCUGUUAACGCAACAAGGAAUCGAAAAACAAACCGGAAAAAAAACGCAAAGAUAGAAAUUAUUAAUUGACUGAGAAAUGUAUGCAUACACACGUGCAUAUAAUUUAAAUUCAGUAAUAAUUUCCGUUUCACGUGGAACUCGAGAAUUACGACACACACAACAUACCGAGACACGUUAACAUAUGUACUUUGGCUGACUCAGCGGAGCUACCAAUAUGUUGAGGGUUUUUCUUCUAUGUCGUACUCUGGCGUGACUCAUGCACGACCCCAAGUCAGUUCUGUGUCGCUUUCCGUUUGACUCCAGUUUCAUUGUUAUCAUUGGGGAGGGGAUGUGGGGUGUGGACAAGAUAGCGAAUGAAGUUUGGUAAUGCUAAAACCCUCACAUACACAUACGUCAAUGUUGGCGCUUUUUGGGAAAGCAAAAUCAUUAUUUGGAGAUGAAUCGCGUUCGGCAAAGUUUCGGUGACUCAUUGGGAACUGGAGAGCCGAAAGUGGAA
Long non-coding RNA from Anopheles merus, 2464 nucleotides. RefSeq lists it as uncharacterized. Lineage: Eukaryota; Metazoa; Arthropoda; Insecta; Diptera; Culicidae. The transcript is spliced from 3 exons. The record is from RefSeq and is a predicted model, not a curated record.